This 752-nucleotide long non-coding RNA is filed under the name Gallus gallus (chicken). Lineage: Eukaryota; Metazoa; Chordata; Aves; Galliformes; Phasianidae. The record is from RNAcentral.
AAAGUUAUGGGAAUUACUUUGCUCUGCCUCUCUGAAGAAUAGCAUAUUUAGUUUCUAUCUUACACACAAAAUGUGCAUAUAAGUAAAAAUCGUGUCAGCAUCUGAGUUGCUCUGUCCCCAUAACCUCAGUAAUGGAUUUCUAUGUGCAUGUGUUCGUAUAAAGCAGAAGCAAAUAAAAAUUUUUGGCCUCAUCUUUAGAUCAGUCAAGAUGUGAAAAAUGAAGCUGUAAGCCAAGUAGAUUGCUUGGGGAACUGGGAGAAAAGAUCUUUCUUCAGGUCCCACCCACAGGAGCACAUUUUCCAAGUGAUGCUAAGCAGAAGUCCGAAGGGGAACAGAAGAAGAGGCCAUACCAAGUUGAGCAAGGCCGUGGGCUGACAUCAUGAGUUGAGCUCAUAACUUGCUGUACCUAAGAGGAUACUGCAACACACCCAGCUCUAUUCAUGGAAGAGAAAACAGUCUACUUUACCUCCACAGGAGUACCUCUUGGGUAUUAUUUCUGCUCUUUUUUGGAGAGAAAUUGAACACACAGGAAGAAAAUUAUGUACAUGCUGAACUACAAAAGAAAAUCUUGAACAAAAAUGACUGAACAGAAGGAAAAGGGAAAAAAUCAGUUUCUCUGUGGGUUGCUGCUGUGCCUCUGGUGCUCAUCAAUAAUCUUCCAGAGCGAUAAUCUGAGACUCAUCCCCAAAAAGGCUCAAUCAGUAAGCCGGUAAAUUGAGUGUUACAAAUUCACUGUGAUAGCAGAAUAUGGG